RNAcentral lists this ribosomal RNA (486 nucleotides) under uncultured bacterium. Its description in RNAcentral is "partial 16S ribosomal RNA". It matches the Rfam family "Bacterial small subunit ribosomal RNA", at positions 30 to 507 of the family's 1533-position model. The record is from RNAcentral.
AUUGAACGCUGGCGGCAUGCCUUACACAUGCGAGUCGAACGGCAGCACGGGUGCUUGCCCCUGGUGGCGAGUGGCGAACGGGUGAGUAAUACAUCGGAACAUGUCCUGUAGUGGGGGAUAGCCCGGCGAAAGCCGGAUUAAUACCGCAUACGAUCUACGGAUGAAAGCGGGGGACCUUCGGGCCUCGCGCUAUAGGGUUGGCCGAUGGCUGAUUAGCUAGUUGGUGGGGUAAAGGCCUACCAAGGCGACGAUCAGUAGCUGGUCUGAGAGGACGACCAGCCACACUGGGACUGGGACACGGCCCAGACUCCUACGGGAGGCAGCAGUGGGGAAUUUUGGACAAUGGGCGAAAGCCUGAUCCAGCAAUGCCGCGUGUGUGAAGAAGGCCUUCGGGUUGUAAAGCACUUUUGUCCGGAAAGAAAUCCUUGGCCCUAAUACGGUCGGGGGAUGACGGUACCGGAAGAAUAAGCACCGGCUAACUACGUG